AAACAGGUCGCUUUUGAAAUCCUAAGAACCCUCUAACUCGAGGGGCGUAAACCUUGGCCAAAGCAGUGUCACGCGACCAUUUUGUUCUAGAUUACAAACAAAUAAGCUUGAAGUAAUAUUUUGUUCAGUGUGUAUCAAACACAUACAGACCAGUCACUAAAAUGUCAUGCCAUAUAAAAGUGCAAGUUCAAAGGAAUGUGUGUGUAUUUGUCCCAAACUAUUUAGCACUACAAACUCAAAACAUGGGCAUAUUCAAGUGGCACUAGGUAUAUUUUUGUCAUACAUCUAUGUUCAUUUGUCACUUUUAAAUCUUCUGUCAUGAAACAAAGCGAGAAGAGAGUGGUCUUCAACUUUUCGAUCUUGCAAUGUUAACUUUCCUUUCUCCAUCUCCUUGAAGCAGUAAGCGGGGGCUUGCCACUUAGAAUCCUCCAGCACUUUCCCCACCUCAAAAGUUAUAAUAUGUUCGAUCAAUCCAUCAUAAAACUGCCAAUAAACAGGUAUCUGGGUAGCAACAUCUUCAUAAUAGUGUAGGAAAUCAAUCUUCUCCCAAACAUUACAGAGAAAUCCAUCCUUAUACCUCUGGCCCAAAUAAUUCGCACCUUCAAGCCAAUUAGGUCUCAAAAUCCCCACAGGGAAAUGCUUGACCGUGCAUUCCUGGGUAGAAUCCAAAGUGAAGUAAAAUGAAGUGCCGUUCUGCCAUUCAACGUCGUACAAUUUUUUCCCCAAUUGGUAUUGGUUUAUGUGCAAGUACCUUUUGUUAGGCCAAUCGUACCAGAGAUCCACUUUCCUGAGACCUCCUGUGUAGUUCAUGAUGGUAGUUGCAUGGAACUGGUGCGGCCAUGGUGAUGGAAUUGGAUCUGUUGUAUCUAAUUUCAAUGCUAUUGAAGGAACCCAGAAAGGGGAUAAAGUGAACAGGAAGA
RNAcentral lists this unclassified non-coding RNA (920 nucleotides) under Hevea brasiliensis (rubber tree). The record is from RNAcentral. Lineage: Eukaryota; Viridiplantae; Streptophyta; Magnoliopsida; Malpighiales; Euphorbiaceae.